CGUUACUGUUUACCGCGUCCUGCGCGACGAGACAACCGCGAAUUUGAUAAAACAGGUCACCCUGAUAAAAAAGUACGCGAUUCUAGCCGGGCGACAUUUAUAAAUAAUUACGAUUCCUAAGCGAGAUUAUUUUUCGACGAAAGUGCUCGGCCAGUGAUGGGCCGCGCACGAGUCCUAUCGUUUGUGCUUCAUUCGCAAUAUCAUUUUUACGAACUUGAUGAGACACGUUUCUACGGUUUGUGAAGAAAAAUCGUGAAGAUAUUUCGUUACAUUGUUUCCAGAAACGCUGGAUUGAUUAUAAGAAGCGACCUUAAACAAGAAAGACAUCGUAGAAGCAUCGUACGAACGAACGCUUUUAAGACCUACGCACAGAGACAAUAGGAAAACGUGCUCGUGGUUGAACACCCACGUUAUAACAACAAACAUGAUUGCGCCGCGGAAAAUUACCGUUUCGCAUGCGAAUAAAAACGAAAAGUAAAACGAAGCUCCAUCGAAUUCCGUCGAGUGGUCUAAUAAUUGCGGGCGAACAAUAAUAACAAUGGUUUGCAUGUAAGUAAAUAAUCGGCGCAAAGAACGAACGCGCGAAUCUCCCGGUGUCGGCGAACGCGACGUUUCAUUGUUAUCGUGCUACCGGGAAUGGAACAAGGUUGUGUGACAACGUGAACCGUUUAUGUGCGCACACUAUCGACACAUAUCGAUAGGACGGUGUCGUCCACGCGGCGUUUUCCGAUGCAAGUUAUUGGCAGGAACGUCGGAACGCGUCAAUGAAUGCGUUAAACAAGCGAUUUCUAGACUCGAAAUGUCAGGGACCAAAUGGAACAUUAUUAUUACACCGGCAAAACUUUUUCUAUAAAUUCUAUGAAUCCAGUAAACAGUUGCUAACGUAGCAGUAAUAUCGAAUAAAAAUAAAACGAAGUCCA
Long non-coding RNA from Megalopta genalis, 920 nucleotides. RefSeq lists it as uncharacterized. The record is from RefSeq and is a predicted model, not a curated record. NCBI's taxonomy places the organism in Eukaryota, Metazoa, Arthropoda, Insecta, Hymenoptera, Halictidae.